RNAcentral lists this ribosomal RNA (497 nucleotides) under uncultured bacterium. Its description in RNAcentral is "partial 16S ribosomal RNA". It matches the Rfam family "Bacterial small subunit ribosomal RNA", at positions 28 to 507 of the family's 1533-position model. The record is from RNAcentral.
GAUGAACGCUGGCGGCGUGCCUAAUGCAUGCAAGUCGAGCGAACAGAUGAGGAGCUUGCUCCUCUGACGUUAGCGGCGGACGGGUGAGUAACACGUGGAUAACCUACCUAUAAGACUGGGAUAACUUCGGGAAACCGGAGCUAAUACCGGAUAAUAUAUUGAACCGCAUGGUUCAAUAGUGAAAGACGGUUUUGCUGUCACUUAUAGAUGGAUCCGCGCCGCAUUAGCUAGUUGGUAAGGUAACGGCUUACCAAGGCAACGAUGCGUAGCCGACCUGAGAGGGUGAUCGGCCACACUGGAACUGAGACACGGUCCAGACUCCUACGGGAGGCAGCAGUAGGGAAUCUUCCGCAAUGGGCGAAAGCCUGACGGAGCAACGCCGCGUGAGUGAUGAAGGUCUUCGGAUCGUAAAACUCUGUUAUUAGGGAAGAACAAAUGUGUAAGUAACUAUGCACGUCUUGACGGUACCUAAUCAGAAAGCCACGGCUAACUACGUG